Molecule: non-coding RNA, 1256 nt
Organism: Coturnix japonica (Japanese quail)
Lineage: Eukaryota; Metazoa; Chordata; Aves; Galliformes; Phasianidae
Source: RefSeq, a predicted model, not a curated record
UUUCCAGAGGCCCUUCCAACAGCAGAAUCAAUUUUGUGACUCCCUGAUUCGUGUGAUAUGUAUAUGUCAAAACAGCAGUGUUUGAAUUAACAGAUGCAGGAGCAUCAGGGCUGUCAGCAGGAGCAGAUUGUUUUGAGUUGCAGAUGAGAUAAUAAUUCACAGAUAAUCAUUUAAUUGAUGGAUUCAGUUAUUUCUUUCUUCUCAUACAGUAUUCUCUGUCUUUGUAGCUUAUAUUCUGAAGUCCUUAUCACCACCUCUCUUUACUCAAGGAUGGAAGGGCUGCAAGAAUUUGGAUCACAUGGUGAGAAGCAGUAGGUGGAAAAAAUUAAGUAUCACUGUGAGUCAGCUGAAAAAUCAACUGGAGUUGAUGGGCAGGUCAGUGCUGAAUGAGAAGAUACAGCUCCCCAGAGUCAUGCUGAUUGAAGAAGUUCAGCUAUUUUAAACUGUGUGUGCCUGGCGAGAUAUGUGAGCUGUUCUUCUACUGUAGUACAACUGAUACUCUACAUGGAAAGAAAAAAAGCCCCUUCUUCAAAACCUAAACAUGGCAUCAUUUUGUAUUCCAUUGAACAAGAGACAGAUAAUAUUCAUGAGAUCAUUAGGGUGUGAAUUAAUACCUCACUGACAUAAACAGUGUUUUGAUUUGCCCAUUACUUUUAUGGUCUUCUUUUUCCCUUUCGUAUAUUCCAUUGCUUAAAUUACAUAAACUAAGCAUCAGCAUCUCAGAUGAAAAUUAAUUUUCUUUUGGAGACUACUGUUCCUUUUACUUCACCAUUAGAAGAACUGGGAAGCAGAAUCGAGUUGACAAAGAAAAUGAAUGCGAACACAAAGUACUGCUUGAGUCCUGUAAGUUUUCCAACGUAAGAAAGAGAGAUGGUUGUGGAAAUGCUCAGUGGUUUCUUAGUCUCAUUAACCCUUCAACUCUCAUUCACAAAAUCUUUGUUACGAAGUAAAGGUUGAAGUAGGUAAAGGCAAUAAAGUCAAGAAAAUCACAGAAUCACAAAAUUGUUUAGGUACAAACCCCUUGUUCAAGCAGGGACACCUGGUGCAGGUUGUCAAGGACCACAUCCAGAUGUCUUUUGAGUAACUCCAAGGAAGAAGACUCCAAAACACUGGGAAAUCUGUGCCAGCACUUGGUUAUCCUCACAGUAAGGAAGUGUUUCCUGAUAUUCUGUGUUACAGUUAAUGCCUCCACCUCUCAGCACAGCCAGUUCCAGCCUUACCACACUCUGAUUAAAGAAUUUCCUCCUAACAUCUAA